RNAcentral lists this unclassified non-coding RNA (236 nucleotides) under plant metagenome. RNAcentral describes it as "partial contains small subunit ribosomal RNA, internal transcribed spacer 1, and 5.8S ribosomal RNA". The record is from RNAcentral.
UUUCCGUAGGUGAACCUGCGGAAGGAUCAUUACUGAGUGAGGGCCCCUCGGGGUCCAACCUCCCACCCGUGUUUAACGAACCUUGUUGCUUCGGCGGGCCCGCCUCACGGCCGCCGGGGGGCAUCUGCCCCCGGGCCCGCGCCCGCCGAAGCCACCUGUGAACGCUGUCUGAAGUAUGCAGUCUGAGACAAUUAUUAAAUUAAUUAGAACUUUCAACAACGGAUCUCUUGGUUCCG